UACGUAGGGGGCGAGCGUUGUCCGGAUUUAUUGGGCGUAAAGAGCUCGUAGGCGGUUCGAUAAGUCGGAUGUGAAAUCUCCACGCUCAACGUGGAGGGGCCAUUCGAUACUGUCGUGACUCGAGUCCGGUAGGGGAGUGUGGAAUUCCCGGUGUAGCGGUGAAAUGCGCAGAGAUCGGGAGGAACACCCGUAGCGAAGGCAGCACUCUGGGCCGGUACUGACGCUGAGGAGCGAAAGCGUGGGGAGCGAACAGG
This 254-nucleotide ribosomal RNA is filed under the name uncultured bacterium. RNAcentral describes it as "partial 16S ribosomal RNA". It matches the Rfam family "Bacterial small subunit ribosomal RNA", at positions 524 to 776 of the family's 1533-position model. The record is from RNAcentral.